AACACCUUAAUAUACAACUACUCCAAUAGGUUGUAUCUAGUUUGCCUAAUAAGAUGUGAGGUAAUAAAUAAGAUGCUCUCUCAUUCUACAUUGGAGCUUGUGCAAGGGUGUUGGUUAAUUUACAUACAACCUUGUUCUAUUUUCUCAUUUAUUGCGUGACACAUCAUUAAAUUCUAUGUGUUAAAAUUACUAAUAACUAUCUUACAACCAUUGAGGAUGCCCUUAUUUUGAGGAGACGGAGGAAGUACAAAAUAAUGGACCAGUCCUAGAGAACAGUGCUUGCUCAAAAAACUGUUGUCUAAUAGAGUUUGCUUUCUUUGGAGCACAACGUGAUCUAAUCACUAGGAAAACUACAAACUGCGUUGCUGCUCUUGCCAAACGACGGACUGACUACCUCCACAACUACAAAGACUUCCUGGCAAAGAAAUUAUAUACACAAUUACACCGAACAGCAGAUCUCUCUGGAUGCCAACUUCUAAUAUUUCCAGGUACAAUUAACAGAGCAUGUACCAUUGGCUCCACUUCAAAUGGUCAAUCAACCAUUAAUGACAAAUACUGCACAAUCUUAUACUUCAACGCCAACACCAGAGACGGAAUGGUUGAAAACAAUCCAGUUGCAACUCCGCUAUCUGGUGACCACAAUCGUUAUGAAAAUGAAGCAUUGAAACAACAACUGAUGAGGUAUACAAAAUUGAACUGUUUUUUCCUAUGUUGUACAUAUUCGGACUUUUCUGUAUACUCAUACAACUAAUGAAAUGUUUUCAGACGUUGUACAGGUCAACAAUGUCACUAGGGUGUGCAAUUCAGAUUCUGAAUUCUAAUCAGCAUGGUUUCAGUUGUGUAUUAUGAAAAAUGUUAUAUGUAUAUUAUGUGAAACCGCUCGAUAAAUAAAAGUUACUGCUCCCAAAU
Molecule: long non-coding RNA, 909 nt
Filed under: Hordeum vulgare
Lineage: Eukaryota; Viridiplantae; Streptophyta; Magnoliopsida; Poales; Poaceae
Description: long non-coding RNA (HVUL_LNC018684)
Source: RNAcentral